Molecule: ribosomal RNA, 252 nt
Filed under: uncultured bacterium
Lineage: Bacteria
Description: partial 16S ribosomal RNA
Rfam family: Bacterial small subunit ribosomal RNA
Source: RNAcentral
UACGAAGGGGGCUAGCGUUGUUCGGAAUUAUUGGGCGUAAAGCGUGCGCAGGCGGCUUCUCAAGUCAGGGGUGAAAGCCCAGAGCUUAACUCUGGAAUUGCCUUUGAGACUGAGAGGCUUGAGUACGGGAGAGGUGAGUGGAAUUCCCAGUGUAGAGGUGAAAUCGUAGAUAUUGGGAAGAACACCGGUGGCGAAGGCGGCUCACUGGCCCGUAACUGACGCUCAUGCACGACAGCGUGGGGAUCAAACAGG